RNAcentral lists this ribosomal RNA (697 nucleotides) under uncultured Latescibacterota bacterium. Its description in RNAcentral is "bacterial SSU rRNA". It matches the Rfam family "Bacterial small subunit ribosomal RNA", at positions 9 to 680 of the family's 1533-position model. Lineage: Bacteria; Pseudomonadati; Candidatus Latescibacterota. The record is from RNAcentral.
GAGUUUGAUCAUGGCUCAGAACGAACGCUGGCGGCGUGGAUUAGGCAUGCAAGUCGAACGCGAAAGAGGGGGUAACUCCUCGAGUAGAGUGGCGAACGGGUGAGUAACGCGUGGAGAACCUGCCUUCAACAGGGGGAUAACACUCCCAACGGGGUGCUAAUACCGCAUGAGACCACGGGUUCGCAUGGACCUGAGGUCAAAGGUGGCCUCUGCUUGCAAGCUACCGGUUGAAGAUGGCUUCGCGUCCCAUUAGCCAGUUGGCGGUGUAACGGACCACCAAGGCGACGAUGGGUAGCUGGUCUGAGAGGAUGGUCAGCCACACUGGGACUGAGAUACGGCCCAGACUCCUACGGGAGGCAGCAGUCGAGAGGCUUUGGCAAUGGGGGAAACCCUGACCAAGCGACGCCGCGUGGAGGAUGAAGGCCCUUGGGUCGUAAACUCCUUUUGUCGGGGAAGAAACACGACCAGGUGAACAAUCUGGUCGCUUGACGGUACCCGGCGAAUAAGCUCCGGCUAACUCCGUGCCAGCAGCCGCGGUAAUACGGGGGGAGCAAGCGUUGUUCGGAAUCACUGGGCGUAAAGGGCGUGUAGGCGGUCAAGUAAGUGGAAUGUGAAAUCCCUCGGCUUACCCGAGGACCUGCAUCCCAAACUGCUUGGCUUGAGUAUGGGAGAGGAUGAGGGAAUUCCUGGUGUAGCG